RNAcentral lists this transfer RNA (72 nucleotides) under Pseudomonadota bacterium. Its description in RNAcentral is "Proteobacteria bacterium (freshwater sediment metagenome) tRNA-Arg". It matches the Rfam family "tRNA". Rfam says of the family: Transfer RNA (tRNA) molecules are approximately 80 nucleotides in length. Their secondary structure includes four short double-helical elements and three loops (D, anti-codon, and T loops). Lineage: Bacteria; Pseudomonadati; Pseudomonadota. The record is from RNAcentral.
GCCCCCGUAGCUCAGUGGAUAGAGCGCCAGCCUCCGGAGCUGGGUGCGUAGGUUCGAUUCCUACCGGGGGCG